UCAUUUAUCUAUUUAUUUAUUUAUUUAUUUUGUUAAUUAAACAAUUUAUUUCUAUUUAUUUACUUAGGGCAAGGAAAUGAGCAAGUAGGGUUAUUGGAGCCUGACCCACACCCGGGUCAGAAGGUGGCGGUAAUGCCCGUUGUAAAGGUGGCCAACCGCCGUUAAACUCCACGAAGAAGAAGAAGAAGAAGAAGAAGAAGAAGAAGAAGACAGUUCUUCCUUUGCGCCUCCGUCACCUCUCCGGCCCCCUGUAUGCGCUGCUGCGUGUGUCUGUGGUAGGUGUCCUCUCUCUGCGGUAUGGUUGAUGCUGUCCGGUGGCUAAUGCUAGUGUGAUCACAGGUAAAUGCUGGUGGCUGCCAGGGGUCCUCUCUCCCUCCCUCCUCUCGUGUGUGUGUGUGUCCAUCGCUGCUAAAAAGGAAUUACUGUAACCAGCUUAUUGGGGCGCUGCUGUUUUGUCUCCACUGCGGCUGCUGCCUCCCCUGCUUCUGCUGUUUUGUCUCCACUGCGGCUGCUGCUGCCUCCCCUGCUUCUGCUGUUUUGUCUCCACUGCGGCUGCUGCUGUCUCCCCUGCUUCUGCUGUUUUGUCUGCUGUUUUGUCUCCGCUGUGGCUGCUGCUUUGCCUCCACCGCGUCUGCGGCGUGUCUCUGCUGCGGCUUCGCUUUUAUGGCACAGCGCCACGCGGCGGUCUUAUAAACCACUUUGUAGCUCUGCUUCAACAAAAUAGACCCUUGGUGACUGUUUCAACGUCCGGUGCGGGCAGUUGCUCGGCCGCACGCCGGGGCAUGGUUCUCUAUUUAUAUGGAAUGCAUGUGUGAAAGCGUGGGUUUUCACCAUUAUUUUUGCUUAUUUGUAUAGGUUUAUUUGUAUGUUUUGUUUGGGUUGAACUUGAUUCGGUCUGUUUGUGUAACUCAUUUGCUAAUUAAUUGAAUUAAUUUGAAAGGUCCUUGAUGCAAUUAGGAAACUGUUUUGUUUUUCUGUUCUUUAGCCUUAUUUUCUUUUUUGUUUGGGCUAUAUUUGUUUGAAUCCGAAUUGGGUAGUUAUUGGUUGAUAUAUUUUGUUGAGUUUAAGUUUGUGCCCUGCCCCUUUAAUUAUAAUUUUGUUAGAUUUUGCUUUGUGUUUUUGUUGCAACCCCAUUAAUUUGUUUUAUCUUCCCCUCUUUUCAGUGGCUGGAGGCCGGUGGUGGCGGUGUUGGUGAUCUGGUGUUGGCACCCUUCUGUCUUGUCUGCUGUGUUCCUGGGAGUGGGUUACUUCACUGAGUGUGUGUCUGCCACGUGUGUCCGGUGAUAUAAGUUGAUUUCUGUUUUUUUUUGGUGGAUCCUUCCCCUGCACUAGGCCCCGUCCAUCAACUAGGCCUCAGCCCUGAUCAGUUUCCUUUUCCCCUCCCUGCGUGACAUUUUUAAUUAUGGUUUUUACCCAAUUUGUUUAAUAAAGUGUAUUUUUAUCAAUUGGAA
Molecule: non-coding RNA, 1451 nt
Organism: Epinephelus lanceolatus (giant grouper)
Lineage: Eukaryota; Metazoa; Chordata; Actinopteri; Perciformes; Serranidae
Source: RefSeq, a predicted model, not a curated record